RNAcentral lists this ribosomal RNA (447 nucleotides) under Klebsiella pneumoniae. Its description in RNAcentral is "partial 23S ribosomal RNA". It matches the Rfam family "Bacterial large subunit ribosomal RNA", at positions 1 to 478 of the family's 2925-position model. Lineage: Bacteria; Pseudomonadati; Pseudomonadota; Gammaproteobacteria; Enterobacterales; Enterobacteriaceae. The record is from RNAcentral.
GGGUUGUGAGGUUAAGCGACUAAGCGUACACGGUGGAUGCCCUGGCAGUCAGAGGCGAUGAAGGACGUGCUAAUCUGCGAAAAGCGUCGGUAAGGUGAUAUGAACCGUUAUAACCGGCGAUGUCCGAAUGGGGAAACCCAGUGCAAUUCGUUGCACUAUCGUUAACUGAAUACAUAGGUUAACGAGGCGAACCGGGGGAACUGAAACAUCUAAGUCCCCCGAGGAAAAGAAAUCAACCGAGAUUCCCCCAGUAGCGGCGAGCGAACGGGGAGCAGCCCAGAGUCUGAAUCAGCUUGUGUGUUAGUGGAACGGUCUGGAAAGUCCGACGGUACAGGGUGAUAGUCCCGUACACCAAAAUGCACAGGCUGUGAACUCGAAGAGUAGGGCGGGACACGUGGUAUCCUGUCUGAAUAUGGGGGGACCAUCCUCCAAGGCUAAAUACUCCUG